AAGCCUGGAGAGAGAAGCAGGGUCUGAUCCGUAGCCUCCGUGGCAGCUGUUGAUCAGCCCUUGCCCCUUUUUUUCUCUCUG
Non-coding RNA from Myotis lucifugus (little brown bat), 81 nucleotides. Lineage: Eukaryota; Metazoa; Chordata; Mammalia; Chiroptera; Vespertilionidae. The record is from Rfam.